UACGAAGGGGGCUAGCGUUGCUCGGAAUCACUGGGCGUAAAGCGCACGUAGGCGGAUUGCUAAGUCAGGGGUGAAAUCCUGGAGCUCAACUCCAGAACUGCCCUUGAUACUGGCGGUCUCGAGUCCGGGAGAGGUGAGUGGAACUGCGAGUGUAGAGGUGAAAUUCGUAGAUAUUCGCAAGAACACCAGUGGCGAAGGCGGCUCACUGGUCCGGUACUGACGCUGAGGUGCGAAAGCGUGGGGAGCAAACGGG
This 253-nucleotide ribosomal RNA is filed under the name uncultured bacterium. RNAcentral's name for it is "partial 16S ribosomal RNA". It matches the Rfam family "Bacterial small subunit ribosomal RNA", at positions 524 to 776 of the family's 1533-position model. The record is from RNAcentral.